GGCGGUAUAGCUUAGUGGUAGAGUUCAUGUUUAGUAUGUACAAGAUCCUAGGUUCAAUUCCUAGUACCUCUG
RNAcentral lists this transfer RNA (72 nucleotides) under Camelus bactrianus (Bactrian camel). It matches the Rfam family "tRNA". From Rfam's summary of the family: Transfer RNA (tRNA) molecules are approximately 80 nucleotides in length. Their secondary structure includes four short double-helical elements and three loops (D, anti-codon, and T loops). Further hydrogen bonds mediate the characteristic L-shaped molecular structure. tRNAs have two regions of fundamental functional importance: the anti-codon, which is responsible for specific mRNA codon recognition, and the 3' end, to which the tRNAs corresponding amino acid is attached (by aminoacyl-tRNA synthetases). tRNAs cope with the degeneracy of the genetic code in two manners: having more than one tRNA (with a specific anti-codon) for a particular amino acid; and 'wobble' base-pairing, i.e. permitting non-standard base-pairing at the 3rd anti-codon position. Lineage: Eukaryota; Metazoa; Chordata; Mammalia; Artiodactyla; Camelidae. The record is from Rfam by way of RNAcentral. RNAcentral also lists the same sequence under 2 other names.